Molecule: ribosomal RNA, 254 nt
Filed under: uncultured bacterium
Lineage: Bacteria
Description: partial 16S ribosomal RNA
Rfam family: Bacterial small subunit ribosomal RNA
Source: RNAcentral
UACGUAGGUGGCAAGCGUUGUCCGGAAUUAUUGGGCGUAAAGCGCGCGCAGGCGGCCUCUUAAGUCUGAUGUGAAAGCCCCCGGCUCAACCGGGGAGGGCCAUUGGAAACUGGGAGGCUUGAGUAUAGGAGAGAAGAGUGGAAUUCCACGUGUAGCGGUGGAAAUGCGUAGAGAUGUGGAGGAACACCAGUGGCGAAGGCGACUCUUUGGCCUAUAACCGACGCUGAGGCGCGAAAGCGUGGGGAGCAAACAGG